AUACGUAUGUCGCAAGCGUUAUCCGGAUUUAUUGGGCGUAAAGCGCGUCUAGGCGGCUUAGUAAGUCUGAUGUGAAAAUGCGGGGCUCAACCCCGUAUUGCGUUGGAAACUGCUAAACUAGAGUACUGGAGAGGUAGGCGGAACUACAAGUGUAGAGGUGAAAUUCGUAGAUAUUUGUAGGAAUGCCGAUGGGGAAGCCAGCCGACUGAACAGAUACUGACGCUAAAGCGCGAAAGCGUGGGUAGCAAACAGGAUUAGAUACCCUGGUAGGCCACGCCGUAAACGAUGAUUACUAGGUGUUGGGGGUCGAACCUCAGCGCCCAAGCUAACGCGAUAAGUAAUCCGCCUGGGGAGUACGUACGCAAGUAUGAAACUCAAAGGAAUUGACGGGG
Molecule: ribosomal RNA, 392 nt
Filed under: uncultured bacterium
Lineage: Bacteria
Description: partial 16S ribosomal RNA
Rfam family: Bacterial small subunit ribosomal RNA
Source: RNAcentral